RNAcentral lists this ribosomal RNA (163 nucleotides) under Arbutus arizonica. Its description in RNAcentral is "5.8S ribosomal RNA". It matches the Rfam family "5.8S ribosomal RNA". Rfam says of the family: 5.8S ribosomal RNA (5.8S rRNA) is a component of the large subunit of the eukaryotic ribosome. It is transcribed by RNA polymerase I as part of the 45S precursor that also contains 18S and 28S rRNA. The record is from RNAcentral. Lineage: Eukaryota; Viridiplantae; Streptophyta; Magnoliopsida; Ericales; Ericaceae.
UAAACGACUCUCGGCAACGGAUAUCUCGGCUCUUGCAUCGAUGAAGAACGUNGCGAAAUGCGAUACUUGGUGUGAAUUGCAGAAUCCCGUGAACCAUCGAGUCUUUGAACGCAAGUUGCGCCGAAGCCAUUAGGCCGAACSGACGUCUGCCUGGGCGUCACGC